This 10958-nucleotide long non-coding RNA is filed under the name Pelobates cultripes (western spadefoot toad). The record is from RNAcentral. Lineage: Eukaryota; Metazoa; Chordata; Amphibia; Anura; Pelobatidae.
CGCCGCUAGCACCGGGUGACGUCACCGCCAGCGACCGCCGGCUGUUUGCAGCAUCGAGAGGGAAGGCGCUCCGGAGUGAUGGCGUCUUCGAUCUGGAAGGGGUUGGUAGGGGUCGGUCUGUUCGCCUUGGCACACGCGGCCUUCUCCGCAGCUCAGCGUAAGUCUGUGUCCCGAGCUGUCUCGGCCGCCGGUGGAGAAGCUGCCCUGCCCAGCCUCCCCCUAUCCCCGGCAGGCUCCAGCUCAUUCAGGGUAUGGCCUGCUGCUGGCCUGCAAUAGGCAUCAUCUCCGGCUGGCUGAGGGUCAUAGGAGCUUUAAUACUGCACCACCCCCUCCCAGCUCUAGAAGAACGUUUUAACCCUAAAUGAACCCAGAUCUCGGUGUAAUGAUACGCACAAAUCAAAUGGCUCUCUCUAUCUUUAAUAUGACAACUGGAAUGCAGCUCUCUGAGUGUAUUAAUGCAGCCCAAUCAUAGAAUUCAAGCUAAUGGUAAAAAAAAUAAUUGUAAUAAAGCUAUUUAAAGGAACUCAAAAAAAAUAUAUAUAAAUAAAUAUAUAUAUAUAUAUAUAUAUAUUUUUUAUGUAUGAUGAGUUCCCUAGGAGUUAUGGUAUCCACCCCUCCCCCCCCCUUCAUUUUUGUUUUAAAAAUACAUUUUUAUAAAGCAGGUAAACUCACCUGUAACCCAGUGCAGAGACAGAUGUUGAGAUCAUAAACACAUUGAUCUUUAUCCAGUACAAUGCUUCUCUAAGAAUUUGGGACAUACAGAGCCAUGAUAGGCAAUGGCUACAAUCUGCUUAAGUAUUUUUUUUUUUUUUUAUGAGAAGCAUUAGCUGCGUUCAUUUAAUCACGCUGUGCUUCAUGACGCCAGCAGUCCUUUAUAAAUAGGAGAAUUUCAAGGAAGAAGGUUCUAGUGUCUGUGUGUAUAUACUUGACAGUGUUUGACGUGUUUUCAGGUAAAUGUAAAUAUUGCUGUUUUUGAGAAGUGAAGGGAAAGCAUCUGUACCUCAAAACCACUACAUAAAGAUAGAGGUUUUGGUACUUAAAGUAUUCUUGAGGAGGGACACACACACACCUCUUAUUCUGCACUAUUGAAUUAAGAGCUGGAGGUUGCAGAGACAAAUAUAAGUUGUUGAAAAUUAAAAGUAAAUAUGUUUCUAGAAAAAUUCUUCUUAUUACCUAUGUUUUUAAUUUUUCAGUUUUAUCCCAAGUUUGAAAUACACGUUGAAUUAUCAAUAAUUGACUGUUUAGUAUGGCGAGCAUUCGGUAUCUUCAUGCAGAGGGUGAAGACUGUGGUCAACGUUUGCUAAAUCACAACACAAGGUCCUCUCCAGCCACUAGAACUAUGCUUAGGGACAUGUGUGAACACUACCUUUUCUCAGUGAAGGCAUUGUUUACAAAUCAGAACAGUUAAUGUGCAGCAGGACCACUAUAUUAAAAGCUGUAGUAAUUCUGGCGCUUAGUGUCCCAUUAAGCAUAAAAAAUUAUAACUGUGUCGCUCUUCACAUAUAUUUAAAUAUCUAAAUCAAUUCCUAUACCUAUUUGCUGUGAGCUUACUUUAAAAAAAAAAUUCUUUAUUUAGGUGUGCAUUGUGUAAUAUAGAUGCAUUUAUAUCACUUUAGCAUAUCAACGGUGUUUCAUAACUAGCAUUAAACAUAUACUGUGAUUGUGGUUAUGUAUAUAUUUUUAUUUUAUUCUAUCAUGAGUGUGUCCCUAGUGAGCUUCUAAUGAUCAUGAUGCGUAAGAACACUUGUGUUUUCCGUCUAAGCCUAGGGAGGGUGGUGCAAGAGGUAUAUAUUCUGAGGGGAGUGCAGGUAUUUGCGGACCAUUUGUGUUGGCUCUCGUGUGAUCAGGCCUAGGAACAUGUACAGGUCUGUGGGGUAGACCUAGAUUGAAGGCCAGCGACAUUCUGCAAGUGAAUGCUGUUUGUGUGUGUUGUUCUCCUCAUGAGAGGGGGGUGUCUACCAUUGUGCGUAGCGGACCUCUCGGUGGAGGUAGUGCCCCUAACCAAGGGGGUGUCGGGGGGGGGGCGGUGCGGUCUGUGCGUACGGUACAGUGGCAUGCUAUAAAUGGCAUUGUGAAACCGGACCAGGGCCAUAAAUGGAACUAUUAAGCGAGUGUGAGUGAGAUAUGGUUAGCCAGGGCUCCUUAUUCCUAGGCAUCCCAGGCCCAUUAUUGUGUCACCGUGUGGGUGAAUAAGCGAAAACAUAAACAUGAAACCAAAAUCAUAACGUUAAAACUUUGCAGUCCUGACCCUUGUGGGAGACGAGGAGGGAUCUUGGCGCCUCCAUCUGUAGGUCACUCCUGCGGCCCGCAGUCAGGUGGUGAGAGGGCUCCAGGAUUUCCUCCAUUGCAAUGUGGUUUCGGAUAAGUCCUGGUAAAAGGACAGUUGGGAGUCCUCAAAUAUAAGUGGGGUCUUGUUCCUCACCACUGCCAUGAUGUGCCCUUUGUUUUGAUUUAGUGUACAUCGGGGUAUGAUGUCCCCGGGCACUGUGGAAGUAGUUGUGGUUGGCGUCGGUAGGUGAUAUAGCCCAGCGAUAUUGAUUUUUCUUGCGGUGGUGGGUGGCAGCACCGUGGUUAGCAGCCUCCUCACAUAGUUUGGCAAUUCUUCUCCAGGGACAGUAGCAGGUAUCCCCCUGAUCUUUAUGUGGUUGCGGCGGUACCUGUCCUCUUGCGCCGAUAAUUACAAUGAUACCUGUUGGGCUGUUUGUAAUUGGAGCAUGGAUGCCUGCAUAGUGGAGGCUCUGUGUGAGGCAACCACAACUCCACCGUGUCCCCCACGAGGUCCCCUGCUCAGGACGUGCUCGAGGUCACUGUAAGCCGGCCUGUAGAAGGCCCCCGUACUUGCAUUUAGUUUUUGGUUGCUUCAGGCAGUAUAUGAAGGGCAAGAUAUCUCGCAGAUUGUGUUUUCACUGUCGGAGCAGGGAGAAAUAGCAUUUUUUUUUAAAACCCUUUCUCUAAUACCUUUUUAACUGUCAGGGGAAUCCAUUUUACUCGUCUUGAUAGGUUGAUAUAAUGGGGACAAUUGAUUCAGCAAAUACAUAUUGACCAAAUAAUUAAUUCCAGUGUUUAAUUCCUUAUUUUCCUUGCUGUUAACUUGGGUGUUUGGUCUUUAAACCCUGAAUUGCUAAGUGAAUUGAAAAAAUGCUCAUUUAGAAAAGUGCUCUAGCAUUGCUGUUUUAGCCCACACUGCGUAAUUUGAUUUUCAUUUCACUAAAAUUGGGUUAAGUAAAUAAACAUGUAGGUGUUCACAUAUGCGCUUGGUCAGAGUGCUUCUUCUCAUUUUUUAUUCGCCAGGCUGUGCUACCAUGCAUACCGUAUUUCACAGCAUAAUGGUAGCACCCUGAUUUUUCAGUCCAAAAAUUUGUUCAAAUCCAUUUCAUCGCGUAAUAGUCGCAUAACUGACCAUUGCUGUUUUUGUUGUGAGACAUUCUUAUUCUUGAAAACUGAUGGCGAACAUCCUACUAAUCUUAUACUUUAGACACGAUUUAUUACCUAUCGUUUUUUUGUAUUUUAGUGCAUUUUACCUAUGUAAUGCAUUAGGAAAUGUGCAUGUUCUUAGCUAAAACAGGAGGACAGGGAUCAGGAUCAGAGUUUAUGUAAUGCAUUAAGAAAUAUGCAUAUUCUCAGCAACUGUUAUGUUCUCAGCAACUAUAGUAUUAUCAGCAACUAUUAAAAAACAAACAAAAAAAACCCCAAAGCUCCACAUGAUAGUCGCAUAUAAUAUCACAAAAAAUAAAGCUUCACAUAACUGUUGCACACAGCAUAAUGGUCGAACCCCCGUUUUUAAAGGAAAGGAAUUAAAAUCGGCGACCAUGUGGUUAAAUAUGGUAUUUGACAGAGGUUUUACGUUUAAACAUGCCCAGCAUUGUUGUUGAAUAUUCUUUAAAACCAAAUGAAAUGCAAAGUCUGCAUGUAUUAAAGUGCGUUUGAGUACUUAUUCAUCGCUGUAUUGCCAGCCAUUCCUUUUUCUUUUAAAAGAAGAAAAACUACCACAACAAGAGGACAUAGUCUUAAAUUAGAGGGACAAAGGUUUAAAAAUAAUAUCAGGAAGUAUUACUUUACUGAGAGGGUAGUGGAUGCAUGGAAUAGCCUUCCAGCUGAAGUGGUAGAGGUUAACACAGUAAAGGAGUUUAAGCAUGCGUGGGAUAGGCAUAAGGCUAUCCUAACUAUAAGAUAAGGCCAGGGACAAAUGAAAGUAUUUAGAAAAUUGGGCAGACUAGAUGGGCCGAAUGGUUCUUAUCUGCCGUCACAUUCUAUGUUUCUAUGUGCUGGUUACAUCGGAGCUAAGGAGGCAGUUUUCCUAAAUACAUGUUUUGGUGUAUAUUUUAUUUACAUUAUUUAUACUUCUUCUGAGAAGAUUUGUUCUUGUCCACUCUGUAGUUACUUCGUAUAUAGAGAUCCAAUAUAUGUUGCACUAUAUAAAGUAAUCCAUGGUGCUGGUAAGUUUAAAGCAGUGAAACCGGACUGCAGAGUUCCACAGAUUUAUAGAUAUUGUGAAGACGUGUUAGUCCUCCUAGUGGUGAAUUUUUAGAUUCCUUUAUGUCCUAUUCUGAGUUAUUGGAAAUUUGUACACCUGUCCAACAUGACUAUUUUUCUGUUCCAUUUCAUAUUUGAAACCCAGGACAUACCUGAAAAUGAGAGAAAUCUCAAUGUAUCCAUCCUAAUUUAUAAAUAAAUAUAAAGGCAUGUGUAUAUAAUGAAAGUUGAUGAGAAUAAAAUAUUCACCAUUGUUUAGUAAAGUGAUUUACCCUAAAGGGGCUUUCCAGGCACCAUAACCACUAUAGCCAAUGGAGGAUCCUACACAGAUGGGAAAAUCCUCACUGUUGGAAUAUGCAGUGUGGAAAAAGAUUUGUUUAGAAAUGUCAGCCUUAAGUUUAAUAUCAGUCCUGCCAAUACACCAAACAUCUGGCAUUCUACCUCCAUUGAAUGAUUAGGCAGGGAAACUGCAUGUGUGCAUGAGAAGCUUGACAUACUCAUGGGGAUGGAUUGGUGCACUAAUAAAUGCAAGUGUCAUCAUAUCUAUGAUGGCAAAGUCUUGUGUAUUAAAAUCAAUCCUAAAGACAGAGCAGGGGGCUCUACUGACUUGAAAAUAACUGAAUAGACAUUUAAUUAUUGCGCACCCAGUGCUUACAAGGAUAAUUUUCGUUUGCUCCCAAACAGUAUUUGUUUAAAUCCCCUGUGCUAACAUUCAAUGUUUUUAACUGUAGAUCGUUCCUACAUGCGACUUACUGAAAAGGAAGACGAGACGCUACCAAUAGAUGUAAGUACGGUUAAUAAUAAAUCAGGAUGUUCUAUGACUUUGAAAAUGUUUCUGGAUUUCUUCUUUUGAAUUAAAGAAUGUUCCUUCCCUAACAUGACUCUCUACAUACUGCAUUCCAUGUCUUAGUCUGGCUGAGAAUUUGGGAGUUGUAGUUGGUGUUUCUAAGAUGACAUGUCCACUGAUAUAAAAUAAAUGAGCAUGUUUACACACUAUUACAGUUAAUCUUGGAAACCACUGUAUUACCCUUUAGUGUAAAUAAAAAUAGAAUUUUUAUUGUACUAUAUAUACACUGGCCAGAUUUAUAUUGCUGUCAAAUGUACUGAGAAUCUUAAAAAACCAAAUAUGUUCUCUGGUUGAAUUGCAGAUAGUUCUCCAAACCUUGUUGGCUUUUGUAGUAUCCUGCUAUGGCAUUGUGCAUAUUGCUGGAGAAUUUAAAGACAUGGAUGCUACGUCAGAAUUAAAGAAUAAGUAUGCCUUCAUUUAUAUCUGUCUAUCUUUCUUUCCAGUAAAUAGAUUAAUUGCUUUAAUUAUACAGUGUAUCGCAUAUCUUUGUUUUUAACUCAAAACAUAAUAGUUGUUCUUAAUGCUCUAAUAAAACAAAACAUAUGGAUGCUUCAGGUAUUCUUUCAGUUCACUCUUCUCCCAGUCCCAUCUCUGCUGACCCCCUUAUAAAACUCUUUAUACCUCUUCCACUUCCACCAUCUUUUUUGUUUUUUUCCUGCAUUAAGGACUUCUUUGUUCUUACUCCCUCCAUUUCAGUUCUCCUUCUGUCUCUCAUCUCUCUAUCCAGUUCCUUACCAACGCCCUCACCCACUUAUUGUUCCCUAUCCUCCCUCUACCAUACAAAUUAGUCCUUACUGGUCCUCUAUUUCUUCUCUCCUCCAUAUUGGUAAACCUUCCCUUCUUGCAGUUCCACAUCAUUUUUUUAUUUUUUUUUCAAAUGUUCAAGCAGAAGUAAUUAAAAAUGAGUAGUUUUAGGUAGAUUUGAAAAUGUUAAAAACCCAUAAUGCAGUCCCCACCUCUAGCCUUAUCAAGAGCAACUUCCACCCUGAGCACCCCAGUGUUUUUUUUCAGGCAGGUCAGGUCGCAGAGUUCUCUGCUUGCCCUUGGAAGAAUAGGUUAAGCUACUCAAAUUUUUAGUUUUUGAACAGACAUGGUGAGGGGAAUGUGGCUCCCUGAGGGCUCCAUCUGGCUUUUGUAAAGGAUUGCCUGACUAUGCGCUUGUCCUUUUGUCUCAGAAAAUUGAAUAGCCUAGUAAACCUCUAAUGCAUCCUAAAGAACAAUGCUGUGAAUUAACGAGCAGAGGUUAAAAUAAAUAAGGAAAUAGUAUAUCAAGGAGUGUAAUCAUGUAAUAUACAAUUAAAUCUUACUCUAUUAGCCAAAGUUGUAUAUUAAUGUAACGAAAAUAAAAAUUUUCAAAAUUGCAGCGUGCGCGUGAGAAUAGUGUUAUACAGACUGUAGCUCAGUCUGUAAUUUAAUAGGAGGUUUAGUAUAUAGUAUAAUAAAAAUAGAGAGAAGAAAAAUGUUGCCUGUGUCAAUAUGCUGGGUUGACUAAUGGCAUUGUAAAUAACAUGAUUACUAAUUUUUUUUUAUUUUUAUUUCCCACAAAGAACCUUUGACACAUUAAGAAACCAUCCAUCAUUUUAUGUAUUUAAUCACCGAGGUCGGGUCAUGUUUCAGUCUCCCGAUUCAGAGGAUUGUCACCAAAACCAAGCUACAUUUACGUCCAAUCCUUCGCUGAAGCUUCGAAAACUAGAACCGAUGAAUCGUUAAAAACAGAUUUUUACUGAUCAUAGAACAGGACAUUGAAAUAACAUUGGAGUCCCGGAUGUAAACAAUUUUUUUCUUUUUUUUUUCUGGAGUAGUAUCUAUAUUGAUCUUCCAGACUUUAUAAAAAUUUAAACGAGGACUUUCUUUGUACACCUAAUAAAGAGGACUGUAUUGCGGAUUUGCAAUGCAGUGUAACUUAUUGCUACAAUUAUGCUGUGAAAGAUGUCUUUUAACUUGGGAAAAUAUUAAACGAUGCUGCAGCUGGUUCCUUAUUUUUUUUUAAUUUUUUUUUUUUAUCUUAAUUGCUUAAUUCAUUGGGAUAGUUAAUGCUAAAGGCUAGAUCAAUUGUUAUUUAAUAAAUUUUUUUUUUUAUCUAUAGAAACCAAGAUUUAUAUAUGCGGCUUUGAAAAUAUUUUUCAUCCGUAAAUACAGAUAGCUAUGUGACCUUUUCUUCAGUUGUAAAAAAUAAUCUGCAAAACACCUUCUUUACACUGGGGAAGGCUGUGCUACCAGUAUUUUUAUUUUAUACAUCAUUCCCAACACAAUUUUACUGUAAAACUGGAUCUGGGUCAUUCGGAAACAAGAAUGCAUGGGGAUAAUUAAAGUUAUUCACUAAAAUUAGAAUUGUCAAGAAUUCAAAGUGAAUUUUAAAUCUAAGGCCAAAUUAGCUGAACCUGGGGCAUUGCUGUUUUGGAGACUUUUAACAGUUUGAUUAUUUUAGUUUUUAUAUUCAAAUUGAAUUCUUAUUUUAGUCAAUAACCCUAAUAAAUAUCUGGGAUGGCUGCUGGGUUGUAUUACAGGUAUAUGCCAAGUUUUCAACAUAUUGAGCAAAAGCAGAACACAAAUAAUAGGUACAUUUUUAUCAGUAACUUGAAGGAUUUAUCAUGUGGCCUUCCACUGUUAUAUGCCAUAUACAAUGUACAAACAUUCUACUGUGUAGCAUGUGAAUUACAGUCAGUUAUUCACUAAACACAUUGUGAGUUGGAAAAUAUUUCCACAUUUUUUAUUUUAGCCUACUCUUCAUAUUUAAAUUACAAUUUGGUGUUUAGUAAAUGGCUCUUAAUGGGUGUAUUAAGUGAAAAGUUGACAAACCUUGCCUCUUUCUUCUGUAAAAUAGUUCUAAGUGCAUUCCUGACAGCAGCACGGGGUGAAACUACAGAUCGCUAUUUGUAAUUUACUCUGCAGUUAAUUAUUGCCUUUAAAUCCUUUAUGAACAAUGACCAGACAGAACCAAUCUAAGGCAAUUCUGAUUCUAUACAUUGAGUGUAUUGAUGGCCCCUUUUUUAAAUUUAAAAAAAACAAACAAACAAAAAAAAAAAAAAAGCUGUCACAGCCUGUCUAUAAUAUUGGAGGAACUGAAAAUGGUAGAGGUCAUCUGUUUGAACCCCUUUAAAAAAAAAAAAAAAAAAAGUGCCCAGCAUAGGUCUUUCCGAAAUUUAAGACAACCAACAACUUGUUUUGAGGUCAAUGAGCAGACUGUGGACCCAAAUGGGUAAUACCUGCUAUAAAUCUUUAUGACUUUAUUGCACAAAAAGAUUCCUUCUGGUACAUACAGACUCUUCAAGAAAUAUUAUGGCAUUGGCAUAGCAGUAAAGUUCAGGUAAGUUAAAUUAGCAAAGUAUAUUAUUCUAGUAAUAGUAAAUAUUAAGUAACUCAUCCACACAGUUACUGGCAAUUUGACUAGAACAAUGUGUAGAUUGGGUUUAAAAGUGGCACCAAGUAAUAUUAAGCAUGAUGUGCAAUUUAAGGAAACACACGAGUUUGGUCCUGGAAUCAAAUUCCUCUGAUAGCAUUUGAUUGGAGAAGUGUGAUGUUUGCCUGCACAUGCCUCAUUCCAAUCCAUUGCUUCUCUAUGAGAAGCAAUUGAUUGGAGGAGAUCAUGAGUGAUGUCAGCAUCCAAGACGAUCGACAGAGGAGGAGCUGGAAGCUGCAGCGAAGGAGUCUCAGUGCUGGAAAUUAGGUAUGUAAUAAUUAUUUUCUUAACAUUUGCAGAGCAAAGGAGAGUGGUUAAUGAUCACUUUGCUGUAAGGGAAAACUAUGUAACAAAUGUGUUUUGGAACUAUAGGUUACCUUUAAUUUUCCCUUUUAACUACAUUUGAAACUGCAUGCAUGUCAGGCUUUGAGUGUUAAGAUUAUUUAUUUCCAUGUAUGUAACGUGAUAUAAAGCACUCCGCCCUAUAUAUGUACUUUCUCUCUUUAUUACAAUGAUGGUCAUCAAAUGGUUGGACACAAGUGAAAGGCAGCAAAAAUAGAGCAAGCUGACUUUAGCGUAAAAUAGAAGAUAUGCAUAGUUAUUUGGCUAUUAGUUGGAGUCAUACAAUAGAAAUAACAUUUAUUUUAUAUAGAUAAUACAGUGGCCUACGACCAAUAGAAGAGGAAUAUUAUUUUCCCAAUAUAAUAGAAGAAUCUUAUUCAAGGAUUGUAUUUCUAUGCCAAAAACCAUUACACAGGGCUCAAGUUUGCCCUGGUUUCUUGAAUGCAUAAAACUUGGUCAACAAAUAUAAGGUAAGAAUUAAUAUGCCACCUGAGUAGAAUCAGUUCAUACUACUACAUCCUAUUGCAAGAUUUCACAGGUUAUGUCACAUUUUAAAAGAAGAGUUUUUUUUAAUUAUUUUUUUAAAUAAUCUACAAGAAGCCAUUGUAGACCAGAGGUAGGAAACCUCCAGCACUACAGGUUUUGUAGACUACGCCCCCCCCCCCAAUAACGCUGGCAAAGCAGGAAGGGAGACGUAGUCUGCAAUAUUUGGAAUGCCGGUUUGCCAUAUUGGGAUCCAAAAGUGGGUCUUCAGUAGUAGGAAUUGGCACAUAUUCACCACAGGCAACUGCCAAUAAAUUACUUUAGCAGCACUACAUUCCCCAGUAUUUUAUAUUGAAUUUCAAGUCUAAAUCUGAGCUCAAUUGUUAGUUGAUGUAUGGGGCUGCCAAGCCAAUGCUGUGUACAUAAUUUAUUCCUAGGAUAAAAAAUGUCUUAAGAAACACUGAUUUAGGUAUUGCCAUAACUAGGAGAUACCUUUAGAUUGUAAGCGCGUGGGCUAUGUAACAAAGCACAUUGUAUAAAAGAGCUCAAGUGUUAGAUCUCAGCUCACAGCAGAGCCCUCUUUACUUUUUGUAUUUGUCUGUACGGUCUUCCUUAAUUGUACAGCGCAGCAGAAUAUGUUGGCGCUUUAUAAAUGGCAGUAAUAAAUAAUGUCUGCACAAAAUCUAUUCAAAUAACAAUUACAAGCAUACAUUUAUUAUGUUGUUACAUGCAUAUGACUAAGAAUUGCCUCUGACUCUUUGGUCUUCAAUGUGGUUAGUUUGAUAUUUUGACAAUAAAUGUUCCUGAAGAUGUGGUUACAAUAUUGGACUCUUUGCAUUUAGUCAGAGCAAAACAUACCCAAAAUGACUUCUGUCCACAAUGUAAAUGCUGUAUAUUUCAUUUGGUAAUGAGUGCUUGUCCAAAGAUUGACCUUUCUGAUAAUCUUUGUGAUUUUAGCAAGGGUUUCUGGGAGUCAAAUUCAAAUCCUCUGCUUUCUACAAGUCGUGACAUUAUGUACAGCAAACAUUUUUGGUUUAAAGAAGGAAAAUACUAAGAUAAGGCAGAAAAUUAAAUAUUGCUCCACAAUGUGUGUGUGCUAAAUCCAUGUAGUAGUUUUUUUUUGUUUUGAAUCUAUCAUCUGAAAAGUUGUUUUACUGUUCUUCUGGUUAAAAGUUAACUUUUUAUAGUAAAAAUAUGCAAACCCUGUUGCUGUCUCUACUGAAAAAUCAAUGCAAAUUUAUUUCAAUGCACCUAAUAAAACAACUGUAUGUGAGUAUUCAUUUUUCAUUUCUGUUUAUCCCUUUUAUGAUUUGUGUGACUGUCUGUCUGAUGUUCUAUCAAAGAAUGUCCCAUCAUCUAUCUCUUCAAUAAACUCUGGGAAUCUAUAAGUACUGCACUGUUGCAAGUGGCUGG